UACGAACUGUGCGAACGUUAUUCGGAAUCACUGGGCUUACAGGGUGCGUAGGCGGCUUGUUAAGUAGGGUGUGAAAGCCCCCGGCUCAACCGGGGAAUGGCGCCCUAAACUGGCGAGCUGGAGUGAGAUAGGGGUGUGUGGAACUUCCGGUGGAGCGGUGAAAUGUGUUGAUAUCGGAAGGAACGCCGGUGGCGAAAGCGACACACUGGAUCUUGUCUGACGCUGAGGCACGAAAGCCAGGGGAGCGAAC
RNAcentral lists this ribosomal RNA (250 nucleotides) under uncultured bacterium. RNAcentral's name for it is "partial 16S ribosomal RNA". It matches the Rfam family "Bacterial small subunit ribosomal RNA", at positions 524 to 773 of the family's 1533-position model. The record is from RNAcentral.